AAAACAUCCAAACAAUCUGGCGGUGACAUGGAGAAAGGAAAGGAAAGGGAAAAAGAAGCUAGAUAAUAUGCAGCCUGAAGGAUGCUUCUGAGCCAUGAUCACAGUCCACAGUCACUUAUUCAUAGGGUGACCAGAAAGUUUGCCUUCCAAACUGGAAUACAUCUGAAAGUAGAGGCAUCUCUGCAAGAAGGAUGCUUCCUUUGAAAGCUCAGGGCAUGAGAAUGGGGUAUGGAGCGGGAAAACGCAUCUGAGUCAGGGCAGUGGAAGGAUGUAUCUGCCUCUACCAUCAGACUUUUGCUUCAGGGCUUAUGGAAGAUGUGAUUGAUGACAUCCAAAUUUACACUUGAGAUCUUCUGAUGAAGAUCUUCUGCUCCAAGGAUCAAACUUAACUACUCAGCCAACUGUUGUCAACGUUUGAUUAUAUGCACUUCUUUCUCUCUAUGCUCUGUGUGAAAAAGUUCACGUGGCAGUAUUGGCAGAGGGAGGCUUGUAUCAUCUUCCCUAAGUGCUUCAGAGGUUAACUCUGAAAUGUCAGGAGCACUGUGGGCAAAUUGCAGAAGCCAGAGAGGGCCUCCAUCAGCAUCCAAGAUCUGUGCCAGCGGUUUUCUGAAGAGGCACUGGGGUUUGCAGGUGGAACACGGAAUCACCUGGGAGCUUCCUCAGACUACACUUGCCAGUUCCUUCCCCCAAACCCAAAGAGAUGGAUCUCGCCUCACCACCAGCCUGUUUAAAAUCACUGAUCUGGGUUGUUAGGAAAGAGCUUCAUUAAACUUAAAUUUAGCAUGUGAGGCUGUGGAUAACCCCAUCUCUGUUUCGGAGAAACAACUGUUUACUAUUCUAACACUCUGGAAACCUGGCAAGCCGCUAUGGGAGGGCUGGCAACCCUGAGCUCCCGAGGCUUCUGUGCAGCUGCUCUGUAAGGGACCCCUGCCCCAAGGGCUCCCACCUGCCCAACUUGGUGUUCAAAUUAGGAGGGGGUACAUGACCAAGAACUUUGCAGGACCCAGAAGGGCAGCCGGAACCUAUUUUUGAUGAUCCUGAGGAUUAUUAAGAAAGGAAAUUCCACAAAGUCCUUGUAACUCUCAGAAAGGAUUUUGUUCCACUGCUUGCUUUCUUUGUCUUCCAAUUCUAUUUCUGGAUUUCCCUCUUUACGUUUCUAGGUCUGGAACUGAAUAGCAAUGAAGUAAAAGUGAUCAUCCUAAAGAGAUAUUCCUGGAAACAUCUGUUGCAGGAAAAGCCUUCUGGUUAGAUCCUCAUCUUCUAAAUCACACGCACGGUACGUGACCCUGGGUGUUGGGAGUAGGGACACUGGACUGUAGAGGCGAAACAGCCCCAGGAUCCACAAGUGACGUGAUAAACAAGCCGCGUGAUCUCGGCAGCUAAAAUGAGACUCCAGACGCCGGAGGGAAUGGAAAGUGAUGACGCCAGACACCCGAACAGCAUCGUAACCUCAGAGGAUGUUCACAGCCAGGACUCUGUAAGCUGAAUGGACUGGAACUAAAUGCGUAAGACAGCCUUGUGGACAGAGAAUGUAAUGACGUUGCCUUUUAUUUCCUGUUUGAAGUGUCCUGUCGAGCGAGCCUACUCAUUACUGAGAAGGCAACUGGAUCCCAUGAUGGGGAAAGGAGAAGCCACGGUGCCUUUUAAGUGCUGGGACUGGAAGUCCCAGAAUGUCACUUCUGCCACAUCUGCCAAUAUUCGAAGAGGCUGGAGAUGCUGAAAAUACAAAAUAGUUUUAUUUUCCAACCCAACAAGCUGGGAAAUAUCUCCUCUAACUUUUGCUUGAAAAGAAGACAGGUUUUUUUGUUUGCUUGUUUGUUUUCCUUUUUUGGCCAUGCUGUCUGGCAUAUAGGAUCUUAGUUCCUUGACUAAUCCAACCUGCAUCCCCUGCAGUGGAAUCAUGGAGUCUUAAC
Long non-coding RNA from Bubalus bubalis (water buffalo), 1913 nucleotides. RefSeq lists it as uncharacterized. The record is from RefSeq and is a predicted model, not a curated record. The transcript is spliced from 4 exons. NCBI's taxonomy places the organism in Eukaryota, Metazoa, Chordata, Mammalia, Artiodactyla, Bovidae.